RNAcentral lists this non-coding RNA (124 nucleotides) under Mesodinium rubrum. Lineage: Eukaryota; Ciliophora; Litostomatea; Cyclotrichida; Mesodiniidae. The record is from RNAcentral.
UUUUUUAUUUUUUAUUGCGCAAGACACAUGAUGAAAAAACAGAAAGAAAGAGAGUUUUUCAAGAAAAGGUUACAACAGACCUUUUCAUGUGAUCAAAUAUUGUCGCGUGCAUUUGUAAAGUUCC